UACAGAGGUCUCAAGCGUUGUUCGGAUUCAUUGGGCGUAAAGGGUGCGUAGGCGGCGCGGUAAGUCGGGUGUGAAAUCUCGGAGCUUAACUCCGAAACUGCAUUCGAUGCUGCCGUGCUUGAGGACUGGAGAGGAGACUGGAAUUUACGGUGUAGCGGUGAAAUGCGUAGAUAUCAGGAGGAACACCAAUGGCGAAGGCAGCACUCUGGGACGUGACUGACGCUGAGACGCGAAAGCGUGGGGAGCAAACAGG
Molecule: ribosomal RNA, 253 nt
Filed under: uncultured bacterium
Lineage: Bacteria
Description: partial 16S ribosomal RNA
Rfam family: Bacterial small subunit ribosomal RNA
Source: RNAcentral